RNAcentral lists this microRNA (16 nucleotides) under Corchorus olitorius. Its description in RNAcentral is "hsa-miR-42". The record is from RNAcentral. Lineage: Eukaryota; Viridiplantae; Streptophyta; Magnoliopsida; Malvales; Malvaceae.
UGCAGCAGGAUCAGCU